ACUCCUACGGGAGGCAGCAGUGGGGAAUAUUGCACAAUGGGGGAAACCCGUAGCAUGCAGCCAUGCCGCGUGUAUGAAGAAGGCCUUCGGGUUGUAAAGUACUUUCAGCAGUGAGGAAGGUGGUGUAGUUAAUAGCUGCAUUAUUUGACGUUAGCUGCAGAAGAAGCACCGGCUAACUCCGUGCCAGCAGCCGCGGUAAUACGGAGGGUGCGAGCGUUAAUCGGAAUUACUGGGCGUAAAGCGCAUGCAGGUGGUUUGUUAAGUCAGAUGUGAAAGCCCGGGGCUCAACCUCGGAAUAGCAUUUGAAACUGGCAGACUAGAGUACUGUAGAGGGGUGGAGAAUUUCAGGUGUAGCGGUGAAAUGCGUAGAGAUCUGAAGGAAUACCAGUGGCGAAAGGCGGGCCCCUCCGUGGAAAGCAAAGACUGACGCUCAGAUGCGAAAGCGUGGGGAGCAAACAGGAUUAGAUACCCUGGUAGACUGUC
RNAcentral lists this ribosomal RNA (483 nucleotides) under uncultured bacterium. Its description in RNAcentral is "bacterial SSU rRNA". It matches the Rfam family "Bacterial small subunit ribosomal RNA", at positions 335 to 799 of the family's 1533-position model. The record is from RNAcentral.